CGCGUAGGCGGGCCUUCAAGUCGGAUGUGAAAACUGGCGGCUCAACUGCCAGCUUGCAUUCGAUACUGUAGGUCUUGAGUACAGGAGGGGAGAGUAGAAUUCCAGGUGUAGCGGUGAAAUGCGUAGAUAUCUGGAAGAAUACCGGUAGCGAAGGCGACUCUCUGGACUGAUACUGACGCUAAAGCGCGAAGGCUAGGGUAGCAAACA
Molecule: ribosomal RNA, 207 nt
Filed under: uncultured bacterium
Lineage: Bacteria
Description: partial 16S ribosomal RNA
Rfam family: Bacterial small subunit ribosomal RNA
Source: RNAcentral